AGCGGGGCCCAUCCCGUAAGGCUAAAUACUCCCGAGAGACCGAUAGCGAACCAGUACUGUGAAGGAAAGGUGAAAAGAACCUCGAACAGAGGAGUGAAACAGACCCUGAAACCAUGCGCCUACAAGCGGUCGGAGCAUGUUAAAGUGUGACGGCGUGCCUUUUGCAUAAUGAACCUACGAGUUACUCUCGCUGGCAAGGUUAAGCGAUUCAGUCGCGCAGCCGAAGCGAAAGCAAGUCCGAACAAGGCGUACAGUCAGCGGGAGUAGACGCGAAACCAAGUGAUCUACCCUUGGUCAGGUUGAAGGUUGGGUAACACCAACUGGAGGACCGCACCGAUAAGCGUUGAAAAGCUUACGGAUGAACUGAGGGUAGGAGUGAAAGGCCAAUCAAACUUGGAGAUAGCUCGUACUCCCCGAAAUGCAUUUAGGUGCAGCCUCGAAGCAGAGUGAUAGAGGUAGAGCGACUGAUAAGAUGCGAGGGCUUCACCGCCUAUCAAGUCUUGACAAACUCCGAAUACUAUCACUUGGUCUUCGGGAGUGAGGGCAUGGGUGCUAAGGUCCAUGUCCGAAAGAGGAACAACUCAGACCACCGGCUAAGGUCCCGAAAUAAGGGCUAAGUUGAACAAACGAAGUAAAACUGCAAAGACAGCUAGGAUGUUGGCUUGGAAGCAGCCAUUCAUUUAAAGAGUGCGUAACAGCUCACUAGUCGAGGAGUUUUGCAUGGAUAAUAAUCGGGCAUAAGCCCUUUACCGAAGCUGUGGAUGUCGCAAGACAUGGUAGGGGAGCAUUCCGGCGGCGACGAAGGCCGUCCUCGAGGACGACUGGAGCUCCCGGAAAAGCAAAUGUAGGUAUAAGUAACGAUAAAGGGGGCGCGAAACCCCCUCGCCAUAAGACUAAGGAUUCCUGAUCAACGCUAAUCGGAUCAGGGUAAGUCGGGCCCUAAGGCGCAGCCGAACGGCGCAGCCGAUGGAAGAAACGGUAAAGAUUCCGUUACUGGAUAUAGGAGCGAUGUGGAGACGGAGAAGUGACACACCCGCCUGCCGACGGAAGCGCAGGUUAAAGGAAGUAGGUAAACGCCGGGCAGGCAAAUCCGCCCAGCGUGCCGAAGCUGACAGUAUCGAGAGCCCCCGGGCAAUCGAAUAGCGGUGGUAACCAGGCUCCCAAGAAAAUCCGCUAAGCAUAUUCUAUAUCCACCCGUACCCCAAACGGACACACGUAGUCGGGUAGAAUAUACCAAGGCGCUCGAAAGACUCACGGUUAAGGAACUAGGCAAAUUGACCCUGUAACCUCGGGAAAAAGGGUCCCCAGUAAGAUGGGGCGCAGAGAAUAGGUCCAGGCAACUGUUUAACAAAAACACAGGGCUGUGCAAAAUUUGAAGAUGAAGUAUACAGCCUGACACCUGCCCGGUGCCGGAAGGUUAAGAGGAGAGCUAAUCGCAAGAGAAGGCUUGAAUUGAAGCCCCGGUAAACGGCGGCCGUAACUAUAACGGUCCUAAGGUAGCGAAAUUCCUUGUCGGGUAAGUUC
This 1524-nucleotide ribosomal RNA is filed under the name human gut metagenome. RNAcentral describes it as "bacterial LSU rRNA". It matches the Rfam family "Bacterial large subunit ribosomal RNA", at positions 445 to 1983 of the family's 2925-position model. The record is from RNAcentral.